This is a non-coding RNA of Dermacentor albipictus, 2342 nucleotides long. The record is from RefSeq and is a predicted model, not a curated record. Lineage: Eukaryota; Metazoa; Arthropoda; Arachnida; Ixodida; Ixodidae.
CAAAUACCCAUGCCGUGUGCCGCGUUGAAACUCUAUUGGUAGCUCGACGUCGGUGCGGUGCCGAAAACGUGCGUAGCGCAAGACCGCAACUCCACUUUAAAAGAGAAAGCGGCCAGGCCAUCGUCCGAGUUGUCCGGACUGCACCGUGAGCCAGCGUCGGUCCUCACUUGCUGGUGGUGGCUGCGCGUUCCUGACUGCACGUACUCGUAACGGCCCGGUACCACUGGGUCGGUACCACUGGGGCACGCUACCGCGCAGGCACCUGUCAUGGCUGUCCCUUUCUUGACGCAGGCCUACCUUGUGUUGGUCUUUCGAAGCCUUCCCGCCUGCCUUGCAAGCAUCGAGGGCACAGCAUAUCGCCGCUUCACAGUUUCUGGCCAAUUUUUCAACAGAACAAGGACAGAGGCUGCAACGUGGCCGCUGAUUCCCGCCAUUACUGAUGCUCUCAUCUGGCAACCUGGAGCCACCUUGUGCGCGGUCAACGCCGCUGGUCUAUUAAACCCGCCUCCGUUCCGCUGCCAGUCGGGGCACGCUACCGCGCAGGCACUUGUCAUGACUGUCCCUUUCUUGACGCAGCAACAAGGACCAGCUAUAAGCCCUGACUACUACAAAUCAUUUGUGCUUCGGAACAUCAAGAAAAUCACUGAAUGCUGUUCAAGAUAUGUCUUUGUAAUUGAUGGCAUCAGACGUCUUGGCUUCAGCAUUGGACAGCAUCUUAUAAUGAGAGCUUCUGUCGAUGGUGAAAUUGUAACUCGUCAGUACACUCCUGUCUCACCUCCGAGUGCCCUUGGCUUCUUUGAAGUCAUAAUCAAGGUUUAUCCCCAAGGAAGAAUGUCAAAGUACAUCAAGACACUCAAAGAAGGAUGCUCUGUGGAUUGGAGAGGUCCACUAGGAGGACUAGACUACAAGCCUAAUGUGCACAAGCACAUGCUACUGCUUGCUGCUGGCACUGGGAUUGCACCAAUGAUCCAGGUCUUGCACCACAUUACUAGUUCAGACGAAGAUUACACCAUGGUUCGCUUGCUUUUUGGGAUAGCAAAGUACAGGGAGAUAUACCUGAAGAAUGAGCUGGAUGAACUGAAAGCCUUCUGGAAUGUCAGCAUUCUGUACUGCCUGAGUGAUGUAAGUACAAAGGAAACAAAGGUUGAGGAUCUCAAGUAUGGAGAUGAAGUUCGCUGCAGAGAAAUUGAUGAAGAGCUUCUGGAAGUGGAGUUGUCAAAAUACCGCACACCUCCUCAUGUCCUUUUGUGUGGACCAAAUACUUUCAACAGCAGAAUUGCAUGCCAGGAGCAGCCCGGUGCCUGGCAAGAAAAAGGAGACUCAUCACAUCAUCAAAACCUGUGGAAGCGACCUCGUGGUACCAGGCAUUACUGAUGGCCAUGCUGCCAAAGGCUGUGUCCAUUCAGCCUUCGAUGAGACAAGAAGGGAAAGUGUGUCCCUCUGCAUUUCCAAAAGUUGCACACAAGUGCAAGGGCCAGCCUGGCAGCUCUCAGCAACAUGGUCAUUCUAUGUCCUCCAACCACUGCACCAGGCUGACUGGUCUGAUAGCUCAGCACAGGUAACCAGCUCACUGUCACUCUGCACAUACCUAGCCGCCGCUGGAGGGCUGAUCUGGAGGUGGCGGCUACGCCAGCGCUGCGGAGCACAAAACUUCAUUGAGCUGAUUCAAAGAAUGAGCCCAGAUCCGCUGAUCAAGGUCGUUCAACGGAAAUAUUCGCUUUUCAGAAAUUCAUUUAGCUGAAAGAUUUUUGCAUUGAAUUCAUAGGAAAACUGCCGGGGAUUUUCUAGAAGUUUGUUAUUCUGAAAUAUUCAUUAAACCGACGUUCGUUCAACUGAGAGUUAACUGUACUAAGUAUAAAGAAGCGAGAAGAAGUGUAUACAUCCCAAAAAUAUUUAAUGAUUUGGCUGAUGAAUUCUUUUUGGCAACUUCCAAAAAACAGUUGAAGAAACUAAUGAUGAAAUGUUGAAUUUUAGGUCUGAUUGUUUACUUUUGUUAUGUAUGCUUUUGUCUUUGCUAUGUCAUUGUCUGUUAACAGGUAAUACUACCAACUAUUCUUCUGAAAGUUGGCAAAAAAUGUGUUAUGUAAAUGUCUACCUUUUCACCUGUUAUGUAAAUGUGUAAACACAUCACCGUACCGACUCUGCCGGGCCUAGUCACACAAGUCUUCAUGGGCUUAGACAGGCCCGUUUUCUUGUUUUGCUUGUGGAUGUGUUUAAUUAUUAUUAUUAUUAUUAUUAUUAUUAUUGUUGUUGUUGUUGUUGUUGUUGUUGUUAUCAUUAUUGUUCAUUUAAAAAUUUCCAAAAAUUCAAGACUGCCAACUCUGGCUAGUUUCACAAAAAAA